CUACGGGGGGCUGCAGUGGGGAAUAUUGCACAAUGGGCGCAAGCCUGAUGCAGCCAUGCCGCGUGUAUGAAGAAGGCCUUCGGGUUGUAAAGUACUUUCAGCGGGGAGGAAGGGAGUAAAGUUAAUACCUUUGCUCAUUGACGUUACCCGCAGAAGAAGCACCGGCUAACUCCGUGCCAGCAGCCGCGGUAAUACGGAGGGUGCAAGCGGUAAUCGGAAUUACUGGGCGUAAAGCGCACGCAGGCGGUUUGUUAAGUCAGAUGUGAAAUCCCCGGGCUCAACCUGGGAACUGCAUCUGAUACUGGCAAGCUUGAGUCUCGUAGAGGGGGGUAGAAUUCCAGGUGUAGCGGUGACAUGCGUAGAGAUCUGGAGGAAUACCGGUGGCGAAGGCGGCCCCCUGGACGAAGACUGACGCUCAGGUGCGAAAGCGUGGGGAGCAAACAGGAUUAGAUACCCGAGUAGUC
Molecule: ribosomal RNA, 464 nt
Filed under: uncultured bacterium
Lineage: Bacteria
Description: partial 16S ribosomal RNA
Rfam family: Bacterial small subunit ribosomal RNA
Source: RNAcentral